CUCAGCAAAAAGACGAAGGCAACAAUUUAGCCAUCCUCUGCACACCUCCACACAGCACCUGGGAGAAACAUCAUUUUAAGUUCAUGAAGGGAGCAGAAUCUUGGAAGUCUCAAGAAAAAAAACUCUAGAAAGAUGCAUCGAUUCCAGAAAACCAGGAAAAUGCUGAACUGGUUUCUCCCCAGUAAUCCAGACUCCACUUCACAGAGCCAAGAGUUUGAGUACAAGUAAGUGAUGUUAUUUGUGAAGUUUUUUUGUCUUGGAAACUAUUGC
Long non-coding RNA from Rhinichthys klamathensis goyatoka, 270 nucleotides. RefSeq lists it as uncharacterized. The record is from RefSeq and is a predicted model, not a curated record. The transcript is spliced from 3 exons. Lineage: Eukaryota; Metazoa; Chordata; Actinopteri; Cypriniformes; Leuciscidae.